CAGCGCCACAAGUGGCAAUCGGUUUUAUUGGGCCUAAAGCGUCCGUAGCCGGUCAUGUAAAUCUUUUGUGAAAUUGUUGGGCUCAACCUAACGAAUGGCAGGAGACACUGCAUGACUUGAGAUCGGGAGGAGUCAGAGGUAUUCAGGGGGGAGCGGUAAAAUGCAUUAAUCCCUUGAGGACCACCUAUGGCGAAGGCAUCUGACCAGAACGAAUCUGACGGUGAGGGACGAAAGCUAGGGGAGCGAACCGGAUUAGAUACCCGUGUAGUCC
This 271-nucleotide ribosomal RNA is filed under the name uncultured archaeon. Its description in RNAcentral is "partial 16S ribosomal RNA". It matches the Rfam family "Archaeal small subunit ribosomal RNA", at positions 477 to 747 of the family's 1478-position model. The record is from RNAcentral.